RNAcentral lists this long non-coding RNA (260 nucleotides) under Setaria viridis. RNAcentral describes it as "long non-coding RNA (SVIR_LNC004430)". The record is from RNAcentral. Lineage: Eukaryota; Viridiplantae; Streptophyta; Magnoliopsida; Poales; Poaceae.
GCAAUGGUUCAGCAAACACCAAAAUAUCCAGUUUUGUGAGAGAUGCUAAAUGUAAAUCCAAGACAAAGAUAUUGAACCCUAACAAUCCUGAGAUUGGUAUUUGAAAAAUCGUUGAAGGUAAAGGCCUAGGCAAGCAUCAAAAGACAAGGCUGAAGCCUGGAGAGCUUCUAGCUACGUCCUCAAAACAAAGGAAUAUCAAAGAUGUUAGUUGUCUAAGAAUUCCUAACAACCAAGAUCACGUCUAAGACAACAUUUCCAAG